Molecule: ribosomal RNA, 397 nt
Filed under: uncultured bacterium
Lineage: Bacteria
Description: partial 16S ribosomal RNA
Rfam family: Bacterial small subunit ribosomal RNA
Source: RNAcentral
AUACGUAGGUGGCGAGCGUUGUCCGGAAUUACUGGGUGUAAAGGGCGUGUAGGCGGGAUGUCAAGUCAGAUGUGAAAUACCGAGGCUUAACUUCGGGGGUGCAUCUGAAACUGAUAUUCUUGAGUGUCGGAGAGGAAAGUGGAAUUCCCAGUGUAGCGGUGAAAUGCGUAGAGAUUGGGAGGAACACCAGUGGCGAAGGCGGCUUUCUGGACGAUAACUGACGCUGAGGCGCGAAAGCGUGGGUAGCAAACAGGAUUAGAUACCCUGGUAGUCCACGCUGUAAACGAUGGAUACUAGGUGUAGGAGGUAUCGACCCCUUCUGUGCCGCAGUUAACACAAUAAGUAUUCCGCCUGGGGAGUACGGCCGCAAGGUUGAAACUCAAAGGAAUUGACGGGG